RNAcentral lists this non-coding RNA (46 nucleotides) under unclassified sequences. RNAcentral's name for it is "L31-Actinobacteria ribosomal protein leader". It matches the Rfam family "L31-Actinobacteria ribosomal protein leader". The record is from RNAcentral.
GCGGUUCCGGUUCACGUCAGGCGCCUCGCCCGACGACCCGGCGACC